This 450-nucleotide ribosomal RNA is filed under the name uncultured bacterium. RNAcentral's name for it is "bacterial SSU rRNA". It matches the Rfam family "Bacterial small subunit ribosomal RNA", at positions 29 to 523 of the family's 1533-position model. The record is from RNAcentral.
AACGAACGCUGGCGGCAGGCCUAACACAUGCAAGUCGAACGCCCUAGCAAUAGGGAGUGGCGCACGGGUGCGUAACGCGUGGGAAUAUGCCCUUCACUGCGGAAUAACGUUUGGAAACGAACGCUAAUACCGCAUAAUGACUCCGGUCCAAAGAUUUAUCGGUGAAGGAUUAGCCCGCGUUAGAUUAGCUAGUUGGUGAGGUAAUGGCUCACCAAGGCGACGAUCUAUAGCUGGUCUGAGAGGAUGAUCAGCCACACUGGGACUGAGACACGGCCCAGACUCCUACGGGAGGCAGCAGUGAGGAAUAUUGGACAAUGGGCGCAAGCCUGAUCCAGCCAUGCCGCGUGAGUGAAGAAGGCCUUCGGGUUGUAAAGCUCUUUCAGAUGUGAAGAUAAUGACGGUAGCAUCAGAAGAAGACCCCGGCUAAAUUCGUGCCAGCAGCCGCGGUAA